CCCUUAGAUGUUCUGGGCCGCACGCGUGCUACACUGAGUGGAUCAGCGGGUCAGGUUGCGCGAAAGUGUUUCCUAAUCUUUAAAUCCGCUCGUGAUGGGGAUUGACGGUUGCAAUUUUCCGUCAUGAACGAGGAAUACCUUGUAAGCGCGGGUCAUCAUCCCGCGCUGAAUACGUCCCUGCCCUUUGUACACACCGCCCGUCGCUCCUACCGAUUGAGUGGUCCGGUGAGGCUUUGGGAUCUGAGCGGAAAGAGCGUUUCGCUGUUUCUGCCCGGAAAACUCGGUCGGACCCUAUCAUUUAGAGGAAGGAGAAGUCGUAACA
Molecule: ribosomal RNA, 322 nt
Filed under: uncultured eukaryote
Lineage: Eukaryota
Description: partial 18S ribosomal RNA
Rfam family: Eukaryotic small subunit ribosomal RNA
Source: RNAcentral